This 253-nucleotide ribosomal RNA is filed under the name uncultured bacterium. RNAcentral's name for it is "partial 16S ribosomal RNA". It matches the Rfam family "Bacterial small subunit ribosomal RNA", at positions 524 to 776 of the family's 1533-position model. The record is from RNAcentral.
UACGUCGGUGGCAAGCGUUGUCCGGAUUUACUGGGCGUAAAGAGCGCGCAGGCGGCUGGGCAAGUCCGAUGUGAAAGCUUCCGGCUUAACUGGAAAAUUGCAUCGGAAACUGCUCGGCUUGAAGGUGGGAGAGGGUAGCGGAAUUCCCGGUGUAGUGGUGAAAUGCGUAGAUAUCGGGAGGAACACCAGUGGCGAAGGCGGCUACCUGGCCCACUCUUGACGCUGAGGCGCGAAAGCUAGGGGAGCAAACGGG